GCGUCGCUAUGACGCCUGAAUUCGCCGCCUCCGAAGCCGAGGGUCGAAGGUUCGAAUCCUUCGUGGCGCA
Molecule: transfer RNA, 70 nt
Filed under: Polyangiaceae bacterium
Lineage: Bacteria; Pseudomonadati; Myxococcota; Polyangiales; Polyangiaceae
Description: tRNA-OTHER
Source: RNAcentral